GAAACAUCUUCGGGUUGUGAGGUUAAGCGACUAAGCGUACACGGUGGAUGCCCUGGCAGUCAGAGGCGAUGAAGGACGUGCUAAUCUGCGAUAAGCGUCGGUAAGGUGAUAUGAACCGUUAUAACCGGCGAUUUCCGAAUGGGGAAACCCAGUGUGUUUCGACACACUAUCAUUAACUGAAUCCAUAGGUUAAUGAGGCGAACCGGGGGAACUGAAACAUCUAAGUACCCCGAGGAAAAGAAAUCAACCGAGAUUCCCCCAGUAGCGGCGAGCGAACGGGGAGCAGCCCAGAGCCUGAAUCAGUGUGUGUGUUAGUGGAAGCGUCUGGAAAGGCGCGCGAUACAGGGUGACAGCCCCGUACACAAAAAUGCACAUGCUGUGAGCUCGAUGAGUAGGGCGGGACACGUGGUAUCCUGUCUGAAUAUGGGGGGACCAUCCUCCAAGGCUAAAUACUCCUGACUGACCGAUAGUGAACCAGUACCGUGAGGGAAAGGCGAAAAGAACCCCGGCGAGGGGAGUGAAAAAGAACCUGAAACCGUGUACGUACAAGCAGUGGGAGCACGCUUAGGCGUGUGACUGCGUACCUUUUGUAUAAUGGGUCAGCGACUUAUAUUCUGUAGCAAGGUUAACCGAAUAGGGGAGCCGAAGGGAAACCGAGUCUUAACUGGGCGUUAAGUUGCAGGGUAUAGACCCGAAACCCGGUGAUCUAGCCAUGGGCAGGUUGAAGGUUGGGUAACACUAACUGGAGGACCGAACCGACUAAUGUUGAAAAAUUAGCGGAUGACUUGUGGCUGGGGGUGAAAGGCCAAUCAAACCGGGAGAUAGCUGGUUCUCCCCGAAAGCUAUUUAGGUAGCGCCUCGUGAAUUCAUCUCCGGGGGUAGAGCACUGUUUCGGCAAGGGGGUCAUCCCGACUUACCAACCCGAUGCAAACUGCGAAUACCGGAGAAUGUUAUCACGGGAGACACACGGCGGGUGCUAACGUCCGUCGUGAAGAGGGAAACAACCCAGACCGCCAGCUAAGGUCCCAAAGUCAUGGUUAAGUGGGAAACGAUGUGGGAAGGCCCAGACAGCCAGGAUGUUGGCUUAGAAGCAGCCAUCAUUUAAAGAAAGCGUAAUAGCUCACUGGUCGAGUCGGCCUGCGCGGAAGAUGUAACGGGGCUAAACCAUGCACCGAAGCUGCGGCAGCGACGCUUAUGCGUUGUUGGGUAGGGGAGCGUUCUGUAAGCCUGCGAAGGUGUGCUGUGAGGCAUGCUGGAGGUAUCAGAAGUGCGAAUGCUGACAUAAGUAACGAUAAAGCGGGUGAAAAGCCCGCUCGCCGGAAGACCAAGGGUUCCUGUCCAACGUUAAUCGGGGCAGGGUGAGUCGACCCCUAAGGCGAGGCCGAAAGGCGUAGUCGAUGGGAAACAGGUUAAUAUUCCUGUACUUGGUGUUACUGCGAAGGGGGGACGGAGAAGGCUAUGUUGGCCGGGCGACGGUUGUCCCGGUUUAAGCGUGUAGGCUGGUUUUCCAGGCAAAUCCGGAAAAUCAAGGCUGAGGCGUGAUGACGAGGCACUACGGUGCUGAAGCAACAAAUGCCCUGCUUCCAGGAAAAGCCUCUAAGCAUCAGGUAACAUCAAAUCGUACCCCAAACCGACACAGGUGGUCAGGUAGAGAAUACCAAGGCGCUUGAGAGAACUCGGGUGAAGGAACUAGGCAAAAUGGUGCCGUAACUUCGGGAGAAGGCACGCUGAUAUGUAGGUGAAGCGACUUGCUCGUGGAGCUGAAAUCAGUCGAAGAUACCAGCUGGCUGCAACUGUUUAUUAAAAACACAGCACUGUGCAAACACGAAAGUGGACGUAUACGGUGUGACGCCUGCCCGGUGCCGGAAGGUUAAUUGAUGGGGUUAGCGCAAGCGAAGCUCUUGAUCGAAGCCCCGGUAAACGGCGGCCGUAACUAUAACGGUCCUAAGGUAGCGAAAUUCCUUGUCGGGUAAGUUCCGACCUGCACGAAUGGCGUAAUGAUGGCCAGGCUGUCUCCACCCGAGACUCAGUGAAAUUGAACUCGCUGUGAAGAUGCAGUGUACCCGCGGCAAGACGGAAAGACCCCGUGAACCUUUACUAUAGCUUGACACUGAACAUUGAGCCUUGAUGUGUAGGAUAGGUGGGAGGCUUUGAAGUGUGGACGCCAGUCUGCAUGGAGCCGACCUUGAAAUACCACCCUUUAAUGUUUGAUGUUCUAACGUUGACCCGUAAUCCGGGUUGCGGACAGUGUCUGGUGGGUAGUUUGACUGGGGCGGUCUCCUCCUAAAGAGUAACGGAGGAGCACGAAGGUUGGCUAAUCCUGGUCGGACAUCAGGAGGUUAGUGCAAUGGCAUAAGCCAGCUUGACUGCGAGCGUGACGGCGCGAGCAGGUGCGAAAGCAGGUCAUAGUGAUCCGGUGGUUCUGAAUGGAAGGGCCAUCGCUCAACGGAUAAAAGGUACUCCGGGGAUAACAGGCUGAUACCGCCCAAGAGUUCAUAUCGACGGCGGUGUUUGGCACCUCGAUGUCGGCUCAUCACAUCCUGGGGCUGAAGUAGGUCCCAAGGGUAUGGCUGUUCGCCAUUUAAAGUGGUACGCGAGCUGGGUUUAGAACGUCGUGAGACAGUUCGGUCCCUAUCUGCCGUGGGCGCUGGAGAACUGAGGGGGGCUGCUCCUAGUACGAGAGGACCGGAGUGGACGCAUCACUGGUGUUCGGGUUGUCAUGCCAAUGGCACUGCCCGGUAGCUAAAUGCGGAAGAGAUAAGUGCUGAAAGCAUCUAAGCACGAAACUUGCCCCGAGAUGAGUUCUCCCUGACCCUUUAAGGGUCCUGAAGGAACGUUGAAGACGACGACGUUGAUAGGCCGGGUGUGUAAGCGCAGCGAUGCGUUGAGCUAACCGGUACUAAUGAACCGUGAGGCUUAACCUUA
This 2925-nucleotide ribosomal RNA is filed under the name Escherichia coli. Its description in RNAcentral is "bacterial LSU rRNA". It matches the Rfam family "Bacterial large subunit ribosomal RNA". Lineage: Bacteria; Pseudomonadati; Pseudomonadota; Gammaproteobacteria; Enterobacterales; Enterobacteriaceae. The record is from RNAcentral.